AUGAAGCAGGUGGCAAGAGUGACUGUACUCCUGACUCUGGCCACAUGGAGCCUUGCUAAGACCACCCAGCCCCUCUCCAUGGACUCCUAUGAAGGGCAAGAAGUGAAUGUGUCCUGCAGCCACACAAACAUCGCUACAAACGAGUACAUCUCCUGGUACCGGCAGGUCCCCCAUCAGGGACCACAGUUUAUUAUUCAAGGAUAUAAGGUCCAUGUGGCAAAUGAAGUGGCGUCUCUGUUUAUUUCUGCGGACCGGAAGUUCAGCACUCUGAGCCUGCCCCAGGUUUCCCUGAGAGACACUGCUGUGUACUACUGCAUCAUGGCUGACACACACAUUGGAGAGCGGUCCCUAUUACUCAUUGGAAUCGGUGGUGGAGAUAUGUCCCCCACCUCCGCCCAUCAACACUUGAAGCAGGUGGGAGAGCUGGCCCUAAAGUCAUAA
This is a non-coding RNA of Peromyscus maniculatus bairdii (prairie deer mouse), 441 nucleotides long. The record is from the annotation of a RefSeq genome assembly. Lineage: Eukaryota; Metazoa; Chordata; Mammalia; Rodentia; Cricetidae.